Molecule: long non-coding RNA, 604 nt
Organism: Lathyrus oleraceus (garden pea)
Lineage: Eukaryota; Viridiplantae; Streptophyta; Magnoliopsida; Fabales; Fabaceae
Exons: 2
Source: RefSeq, a predicted model, not a curated record
UUCAACUAUGAGGAAUUAUUCUUACUGUUAUGCUUAUUAAUCUCUGCAGGUUAGUAGGUGUUGCCGGUUGAAUGUGUUGUUGCUAAUGUGUUUGCUGUGAAACUGAUAUGAGCUAUUGCCACCAGGUUGUUCUGUUAUGAACCUUGUAGGGAAUGUUGGCUUUAAUGUUGCAGCAACAAGUCUACAUCCCAUCACGGUUGACACGGAUAAGAUAUACUCUGCGGAUCUUUCCAUCAAGAUCAAGAGAGAACAAACCCGAAUGACAAAUCUUGAAUCUCUUCAUUGGCAGCGGUAACCGUGUUGUCGGGACAAAAGCUGCUAUUUGGACUUGAUAAUGAUGUGUUGAGGUCCUUGGAAGAUGCAGGUUUGGCAAUCGUGCUGUUUGGAAAAGGUGGAUAUCAUUUGGGUUGAAAUUCGUUGGACAGCUGGAAGUUCGGUUGGAAUUUGUUAUGAUUCUAUUCUGAAUUCAGUUGAAAUUUGGAAAUUCGGUUAGAUGUUGGUUUUUACUAAAGUUCUAUUAGUGAAGUGAUUUAGAAAAUGCUGUUAGAUAGUGAAUUAUUCCUUUGUGCAGUUAGUGUUGUUAUGAAUAUUGUUAAUUCUGUUA